UCGGGGAAGAAAAUGACUGUACCCGAAUAAGAAGGUCCGGCUAACUUCGUGCCAGCAGCCGCGGUAAUACGAAGGGACCUAGCGUAGUUCGGAAUUACUGGGCUUAAAGAGUUCGUAGGUGGUUGAAAAAGUUAGUGGUGAAAUCCCAGAGCUUAACUCUGGAACUGCCAUUAAAACUUUUCAGCUAGAGUAUGAUAGAGGAAAGCAGAAUUUCUAGUGUAGAGGUGAAAUUCGUAGAUAUUAGAAAGAAUACCAAUUGCGAAGGCAGCUUUCUGGAUCAUUACUGACACUGAGGAACGAAAGCAUGGGUAGCGAAGAGGAUUAGAUACCCUCGUAGUCCAUGCCGUAAACGAUGUGUGUUAGACGUUGGAAAUUUAUUUUCAGUGUCGCAGCGAAAGCGAUAAACACACCGCCUGGGGAGUACGACCGCAAGGUUAAAACUCAAAUGAAUUGACGGGGACCCGCACAAGUAGUGGAGCAUGUGGUUUAAUUCGAAGAUACGCGCAGAACCUUACCAACACUUGACAUGUUCGUCGCGACUCUAAGAGAUUAGAGUUUUCGGUUCGGCCGGACGAAACACAGGUGCUGCAUGGCUGUCGUCAGCUCGUGUCGUGAGAUGCUGGGUUAAGUCCCGCAACGAGCGCAACCCUCACUUUUAGUUGCCAUCAUUAAGUUGGGCACUCUGAAAGAACUGCCAGUGAUAAGCUGGAGGAAGGUGGGGAUGACGUCAAGUCCUCAUGGCCCUUACGUGUUGGGCUACACACGUGCUACAAUGGUAUCUACAACAGGAAGCAAGACUGCGAGGUCAAGCAAAUCCCUAAAAGAUACCUCAGUUCGGAUUGCACUCUGCAACUCGAGUGCAUGAAGCUGGAAUUACUAGUAAUCGUGGAUCAGCGUGCCACGGUGAAUGCGUUCCCGGGUCUUGUACACACCGCCCGUCACACCAUGGGAGUUGGUUCUACCUUAAGGCAAGGUUUAAUACCCUUGACCACGGUAUAGUCAGCGACUGGGGUG
RNAcentral lists this ribosomal RNA (1014 nucleotides) under uncultured bacterium. RNAcentral describes it as "bacterial SSU rRNA". It matches the Rfam family "Bacterial small subunit ribosomal RNA", at positions 439 to 1482 of the family's 1533-position model. The record is from RNAcentral.